Molecule: ribosomal RNA, 774 nt
Filed under: uncultured Neocallimastigales
Lineage: Eukaryota; Fungi; Neocallimastigomycota; Neocallimastigomycetes; Neocallimastigales
Description: partial large subunit ribosomal RNA
Rfam family: Eukaryotic large subunit ribosomal RNA
Source: RNAcentral
UAGAUGCGAGAGUAGAGCAUAUCAAUAAGCGGAGGAAAAGAAACUAACAAGGAUUCCCUUAGUAACGGCGAGUGAAGCGGGAAGAGCUCAAAUUUGAAAUCUUCAAGGUUCUACCUUGACGAAUUGUAGUUUAUAGAAGUGUUUUCUGUUAGUGGAGUGGCAAAAGUUCUUUGGAAUAGGACAUCAUAGAGGGUGAGAAUCCCGUAUUUGGUCAUUCCUCCUAGCGUUGUGAUACACUUUCAACGAGUCGGAUUGUUUGGGAAUGCAGUCCAAAAUGGGUGGUAAAUUUCAUCUAAAGCUAAAUAUUGGCGAGAGACCGAUAGCGAACAAGUACCGUGAGGGAAAGAUGAAAAGAACUUUGAAAAGAGAGUUAAACAGUACGUGAAAUUGUCAAAAGGGAAGCGUUUGACACCAGUGUUGUUUUUCCGAAAAUCAAUUACGAAUGUUUUAUUUUUGAGGAGUUAUGACUUCAUCGGCUUGCUUCUUUCUUUAUGAAACUUUCUUAAUGCACUUUUCGGUUAACAAGUCAACAUCAAUUUCUUUUGUUGUAAAAGGGUAUGAGGAAGGUGGCUUUCUUUUCGGAGAAAGUGUUUAUAGCCUUGUACCUCUGCAAUCGGAGAGAUUGAGGUCUGCAGCGUAGAUCCUUCGGGGUUAGAUACAUUUGUGCUAAGUUAUAGCUUUUCAUAGACAACUUGUUGACUAUGUUUAGUCUUGUAGCUUACUCGCUUACUGCUAUUUUACCUACGCUUAGGAUGUUGACGAGACUGUCGAUCU